Molecule: ribosomal RNA, 484 nt
Filed under: uncultured bacterium
Lineage: Bacteria
Description: partial 16S ribosomal RNA
Rfam family: Bacterial small subunit ribosomal RNA
Source: RNAcentral
AUUGAACGCUGGCGGCAGGCCUAACACAUGCAAGUCGAGCGGAUGAAGGGAGCUUGCUCUUGGAUUCAGCGGCGGACGGGUGAGUAAUGCCUAGGAAUCUGCCUGGUAGUGGGGGAUAACGUCCGGAAACGGGCGUUAAUACCGCAUACGUCCUGAGGGAGAAAGUGGGGGAUCUUCGGACCUCACGCUAUCAGAUGAGCCUAGGUCGGAUUAGCUAGUUGGUGGGGUAAAGGCCUACCAAGGCGACGAUCCGUAACUGGUCUGAGAGGAUGAUCAGUCACACUGGAACUGAGACACGGUCCAGACUCCUACGGGAGGCAGCAGUGGGGAAUAUUGGACAAUGGGCGAAAGCCUGAUCCAGCCAUGCCGCGUGUGUGAAGAAGGUCUUCGGAGUGUAAAGCACUUUAAGUUGGGAGGAAGGGCAGUAAGUUAAUACCUUGCUGUGAUGACGUUACCAAAAGAAUAAGCACCGGCUAACUUCGUG